CGUGUGUGUGUGUAUAUGUCUAUCAUAACCUGUGUGUGUGUGUGUGUGUGUGUGUGUGUGUGUGUGUGUGUGUGUGUGGCGGGGAGGAAGAGAGCCAGUGUGAAGCAGCAGAGUCUCAGCAGCAACCUCUUCAUCCUGGAAAGAGCGGACCAAUCAGGACAGCCAUAUUUCAGUCCCGCCCCUCAGGUCCAGGAAGUAUGUCAGGAGGUGGAUGAGUUCAUCUAUGUGGCCAAUGCAGAGACGGGAAGAGGUAACACCAAGACUCCAACACAUUCCUCAUACUUGCUCCUAUUCCUAGGCCCUUGUUGCCAGCCAGAUAAUCUUGUCAAGCUAUCGCAACAUCAGGCUGGUUCCACCAGGCUACCUUCCAGGACCAGAUCCAGGGA
Molecule: long non-coding RNA, 386 nt
Organism: Oncorhynchus tshawytscha (Chinook salmon)
Lineage: Eukaryota; Metazoa; Chordata; Actinopteri; Salmoniformes; Salmonidae
Source: Ensembl